GAAGUGUUUCCAGUGAAUUUUUAAAUGUAGGUAAAUAUAGUUAAGAUUAUAUGCAGUGUUUCCAGUGAGUUUUUAAAAUGUAGUCAAAUGUGGGUAAAUGUUUUUAUCAAUCCUUAUCACAAUGAUAAAGUUCUGUCAUUUUCAUUCUAAAGAGCCUAAUAAGAUCCCAUUCACACUCUUUCUUCAUGUAUAGUGCUUAAGAAUGUGUGAUUACCUUUCUUCUAAUCAUGUAUAUUUUAGAUUUUUAGAUUUUUUAAAAUGAGAUUUUUUCAGAGUUGAUUGAUCACCUAUUUUCACAUCUCCAUUUAUGUUACACUGUUUAACUUAGAUAUGAAAUUUAAGAAAUAAAGAAAUAUUUUUAUAAUUUAUGGUCUUAAACUUGUCAUGUGAUUUUUAUGAUUUUAAAGGUAUUUCCGUAACAACAAAAUA
This 429-nucleotide long non-coding RNA is filed under the name Nicotiana benthamiana. RNAcentral's name for it is "long non-coding RNA (NBEN_LNC020606)". The record is from RNAcentral. Lineage: Eukaryota; Viridiplantae; Streptophyta; Magnoliopsida; Solanales; Solanaceae.